RNAcentral lists this ribosomal RNA (422 nucleotides) under bacterium enrichment culture clone ALO1_GLFRUDD03FT13P. RNAcentral describes it as "bacterial SSU rRNA". It matches the Rfam family "Bacterial small subunit ribosomal RNA", at positions 9 to 435 of the family's 1533-position model. The record is from RNAcentral.
GAGUUUGAUCCUGGCUCAGAUUGAACGCUGGCGGCAUGCCUUACACAUGCAAGUCGAACGGCAGCACGGGAGCUUGCUCCUGGUGGCGAGUGGCGAACGGGUGAGUAAUGCAUCGGAACGUAUCCUGGAGUGGGGGAUAACGUAGCGAAAGUUACGCUAAUACCGCAUAUUCUGUGAGCAGGAAAGCGGGGGACCUUCGGGCCUCGCGCUCUUGGAGCGGCCGAUGUCGGAUUAGCUAGUUGGUGAGGUAAAGGCUCACCAAGGCGGCGAUCCGUAGCAGGUCUGAGAGGAUGAUCUGCCACACUGGAACUGAGACACGGUCCAGACUCCUACGGGAGGCAGCAGUGGGAAUUUUGGACAAUGGGGGCAACCCUGAUCCAGCCAUGCCGCGUGAGUGAAGAAGGCCUCGGUUGUAAGUACGU